RNAcentral lists this non-coding RNA (70 nucleotides) under Schistosoma mansoni. Lineage: Eukaryota; Metazoa; Platyhelminthes; Trematoda; Strigeidida; Schistosomatidae. The record is from RNAcentral.
AGAAUAACUCCUCCUGUAACUCUUCUAGAGUUACUGCCGGUUCGAAGCCCGGAUAAAGGAGGAGGGUUGG